Dermacentor andersoni is the source of this 732-nucleotide non-coding RNA. Lineage: Eukaryota; Metazoa; Arthropoda; Arachnida; Ixodida; Ixodidae. The record is from RefSeq and is a predicted model, not a curated record.
CACAGAUCGGUUUCUUUUCGCGGACGACGACAUCGUUAGGCGAAACAUGAUUGGCACCAAGAAGAUUCUUGUUGGACUUCUCGUCCUGGCAAUGGUCCUUGCGAUCGCCAUGGCACAGUUCGCGAAUGUUGGCGAACGUCGGCUUGGUGGUGAACGUGGUUUGGGCCAAUACCGAGACUACCGCGGCUCACGUGGACGUGGCGACGACCGUAGAUCCUACGACGGACGUGAUCGUGACCAUAGAUUCGGCCGCGACCGUGGCUCUGGACGUGACCGUGGCCGAGAACGUGGCAGGGGCGGUGGAUGAGACUUCGACAGAUUUUGAUUAUUGCUUCCUCUGCUCGACCCGACGUUUCUGCACAGAAAACGGAGGGAUGUGUAAUAUGUUUUAAAUGAACAAAAGCUGAAAUGCACGGCAUGCUCCACCAUGUUAUAACAGGCGGCAUAAUUGUGAUACUCCCGAGCAAAGCGCCCGUUAACGAAAAUUUCAAGAGGCAAAUUUUCCACCAGGAAGGACCAAUAGCUCGGGUCAUAGAACCUGCCUGGAACUCCUGAAAAGAAAUAUGAUUAUCAUGAACACAACCCUUCGAAUUAAUUAUGCAUAGACGUGAUAAACCGUACUCUGUCCUAACGGAACUGCGAUUCUUAGUAAAGAAAGAGUCGCGCACCUUUCAGGAAUAGAGCUUGCAAAGUGUGUUUCAAAUAAACAUGAUUAUCUCUGACUGAAAGCAA